RNAcentral lists this unclassified non-coding RNA (345 nucleotides) under soil metagenome. RNAcentral describes it as "partial contains 5.8S ribosomal RNA, internal transcribed spacer 2, and large subunit ribosomal RNA". The stretch from base 1 to 119 matches the Rfam family "5.8S ribosomal RNA", at positions 35 to 154 of the family's 154-position model. The record is from RNAcentral.
GAUGAAGAACGUAGCGAAAUGCGACAAGUAAUGUGAAUUGCAAAUUCAGUGAAUCAUCGAGUCUUUGAACGCACAUUGCGCCCCCUGGUAUUCCGGGGGGCAUGCCUGUCCGAGCGUCAUUGCUGCCCUCAAGCACGGCUUGUGUGUUGGGCCCCGUCCUCCGAUCCCGGGGGACGGGCCCGAAAGGCAGCGGCGGCACCGCGUCCGGUCCUCGAGCGUAUGGGGCUUUGUCACCCGCUCUGUAGGCCCGGCCGGCGCUUGCCGAUCAACCCAAAUUUUUAUCCAGGUUGACCUCGGAUCAGGUAGGGAUACCCGCUGAACUUAAGCAUAUCAAUAAGCGGAGGA